GCUAUUUUGGUGGAAUGGUAGACACAGUGCUCUUAAGAGGCACCGCGAAAGCAUAUUGGUUCAAAUCCAAUAAGUAGCA
This 79-nucleotide transfer RNA is filed under the name Pseudomonas laurentiana. RNAcentral's name for it is "tRNA-Leu". It matches the Rfam family "tRNA". From Rfam's summary of the family: Transfer RNA (tRNA) molecules are approximately 80 nucleotides in length. Their secondary structure includes four short double-helical elements and three loops (D, anti-codon, and T loops). Further hydrogen bonds mediate the characteristic L-shaped molecular structure. tRNAs have two regions of fundamental functional importance: the anti-codon, which is responsible for specific mRNA codon recognition, and the 3' end, to which the tRNAs corresponding amino acid is attached (by aminoacyl-tRNA synthetases). tRNAs cope with the degeneracy of the genetic code in two manners: having more than one tRNA (with a specific anti-codon) for a particular amino acid; and 'wobble' base-pairing, i.e. permitting non-standard base-pairing at the 3rd anti-codon position. Lineage: Bacteria; Pseudomonadati; Pseudomonadota; Gammaproteobacteria; Pseudomonadales; Pseudomonadaceae. The record is from RNAcentral.